Molecule: ribosomal RNA, 1287 nt
Filed under: Pseudocaranx wrighti (skipjack trevally)
Lineage: Eukaryota; Metazoa; Chordata; Actinopteri; Carangiformes; Carangidae
Description: partial 16S ribosomal RNA
Rfam family: Bacterial large subunit ribosomal RNA
Source: RNAcentral
CUCGUACCUUUUGCAUCAUGAUUUAGCCAGUAUCUUCAAGCGAAGAGAACUUUAGUUUGAAACCCCGAAACUGCGUGAGCUACUCCAAGACAGCCUAUUUAUAGGGCAAACCCGUCUCUGUGGCAAAAGAGUGGGAAGAGCUUCGAGUAGGGGUGACAGACCUAUCGAACCCAGUUAUAGCUGGUUGCCCGGGAAUUGGAUAGAAGUUCAGCCUCACAGCUUCUCCCUUCAUAUUUAUUUUAACCACCAAACGAUUUAAGAGAAACCAUGAGAGUUAGUCAAAGGGGGUACAGCCCCUUUGAACAAAGACACAACUUUUUUAGGAGGAUAAAGAUCACAAUUUUUAAGGCAAAAUGUUCCGGUGGGCCUAAAAGCAGCCAUCCCAAUAGAAAGCGUUAAAGCUCGAACAUAAUCUGAUCUUUCCCCAUAUUCUGAUAUUUAUAUCUUAAUCCCCUAACAUUACCGGGCCUCCCCAUGCACCCAUGGGGGCGACCCUGCUAGAAUGAGUAAUAAGAGAGCCCCCUCUCUCCCAGCACAUGUGUAAAUCGGAACGGACCCACCACCGAAUAAUAACGGCCCCAAACAAAGAGGGCACUGGACAAACGCGCAAACAAACUAGAAAAUCGUCCUAAAAUAACCGUUAACCCCACACUGGUGUGCCCACCGGGAAAGACUAAAAGAAAGAGAAGGAACUCGGCAAACAAAAUCUUAAAGCCUCGCCUGUUUACCAAAAACAUCGCCUCUUGCAAAACCAAAGAAUAAGAGGUCCCGCCUGCCCGGUGACAAUAUGAUUCAACGGCCGCGGUAUUUUGACCGUGCAAAGGUAGCGUAAUCACUUGUCUUUUAAAUGAAGACCUGUAUGAAUGGCAUAACGAGGGCUUAACUGUCUCCUUUUUCCAGUCAAUGAAAUUGAUCUCCCCGUGCAGAAGCGGAGAUACAAACAUAAGACGAGAAGACCCUAUGGAGCUUUAGACACCAAGACAGAUCAUGUUAAACACCCCUUAACAAAGACUUGAACCUAAUGAUUCCCUGUCCUAAUGUCUUCGGUUGGGGCGACCAUGGGGAAGCACAAAACCCCCAUGUGGAAUAGGAGAACAACCCCAUAUUAUUUCCCCUCCUCCCACAAGCAAGAGCUACAACUCUAGCUAACAGAAUUUCUGACCUUAUAUGAUCCGGCAUACGCCGAUCAACGGACCAAGUUACCCUAGGGAUAACAGCGCAAUCCCCUUUUAGAGCCCAUAUCGACAAGGGGGUUUACGACCUCGAUGUUGGAUCAGGACAUCCUAA